AUGACGCGCAGAAGAGUCCUUGUCGCACCCCAGGCGGGAGUGAUGCAGGCGAAAAACACACCUGAUUCCUUUGGGUCUCCAUGGCAGCAGGGCCAGAUAAUGACGCUCCAUCAGCAGGAAGAGGCUGAUCCUGUGACAGAGGGUGUUUUCAAGGUCAUAUCGCCUAGGAGCCUCUGCCUGGAUGGAAGACGAAUCCGGUAUCUAAGCUUCUCCCUUAAAGCUGUCAGUGAAGCCACUGCCAACUGGAGUGCUUCCGAGUUCCUCCUAAACUCCUGCAUAUGUGUAGUUAAGUCACUUGAAAAGAAAAUAUAAAUGGUCCAAACUCAUCAGUCCACUGUAACUGUACAUGGAGUAUUCAGUUUGCCAUUAAAUUAUGAUUAUCUUGAUUGUUCCCUAAUGUCUUUUUUCUGUCCCAGGUGUGAUUGCUGUUUAUCUUGAAUCUCGCCAGAUAGUAUGGCAAGAACUGUAAAACCCCACACCCAAAAGGCUGAAAGGACCUAAAGCCCAGUUAGAGAAAGAAUUUGAAUAUUAGUUGAUUAACAAACAUACAGGUCCAGAGAGGGGUUGGGUCAUGCAACGCCCCCCUACAUACACACAAACAAACUAUGAGCCCACAGUAUUCCAAGGACACGUUAAAACUUAAAUGACAUAUAGGAACUUGAUACAGUUCAUUCUUAAAGCCAAGGAAAUAAGGUCAUGCAUAACUAAAGACCAACAGCAAGAUAUUGCCUAAACCAUCCUUCAUUUAAACCACCUUGAGCAGGUUCUCUUGCAAGUGGAAGAGAAAGCAGAGAAAGAGAGAGAGGAACCACCAUUGCAAUGAUUUCCAAACAGGUAGAAUCAAAAGGUUGAAAUUUUCAACCAAGAGUUUUAUGUCAUUACAACAGGAGCCUCUCUUAUCUAGGACGGGAUUCCUACCGCGUGGCUGCAGUGUGAUAAAGAAGAAUCAGCUAUCAGUUUCUCACAUUAUCAUACUUCACACAUAGGCACAGUUGUCAUAACCAAUGAACCAAUAUAGAUACACUGUUUUCUUGAUUGUCCCCUAAUGUCUUUUUUCUGUCCCAGGACCCCAUCCAGGAUCCCACAUGACAUUUUGUUGUCUAAUAUCAUUUUAGGCUCCUCUUGGCUGUGACAGUUUCUUAGACUUUCCUUGUUUUUAACGACCUUGACAGUUUCGAGGACUACUGGUCAGAUCUGUGCUAGAAUAUCCCUCACCUGGGGUUUGUCUGAGGUUUCUCCUGUGAUUAGACUAUUGAUGCAUUUCUGCGAGCAAAGGUACACUAGUCAAGUCCACUGUCCCGUUGUCUCUAGGCUGCACACGCUGUGCCUCAACUUCCCACUGGGAGGGGGUUCUUUUUCUUUUCACGUCUAGGGGAAAUCCCUUUUGUCAGAGCAGGGGUUCUCAAAGGGUGCUCUCCAGAUCAGCCGAAUGUGGCAAAUUCUUAGCCCCAUCGCAGACUUCCUGACUCAGAAACUGUGGGGGCGGGCCUAGCCCGCUGUGUUUCUACAAGUCAUCCAGGUGACUCUGAUGCACCUGAAGUUUGAGAACCACUGUGUCAGAGGCUGCCUGACACUUCGAGCUCCAUAGACAAGAGGACACUUCUCACUGCUCAUCUAUGGAGCCCAUGGCUCUCAACCCUGCUAUUUCAUGAAUAGCUAGCACCACACACCAUCCUCAGAGACUCCGAUGUAAAAAAAAAAAAAAAAGCUCCAAGGUGAUUGCAAGCUCAUGCAGGGUUCAGGGCUGCUGGCGCCUGGCCCCUCACCGAGAGCAGCAGCCCCCACGUCCACUCACAUUUUCCAUCCCCUUCACACACUCCUUCUUUGCCCCCCUUAGACUUCGGAAGAAUGGAUCAAUCAGUAGCCUGAUUUCUUAGAAAACAUCAAACAGGAUUAAAUACCGUAGAAUUUCAGGGUUGGUAAUAGUUAUAAAGGUCAACUAGUUACGUGGUUUUAAAACUUUUUCUUUGAGCAGAUCUCUUUCUUCGGAGGAAGUUUUAUGGGGAAACCCAAUAUAGAAAAAGAGAGAAAGCUGAGCUGCUCUGAAUGCAAGAUGAGAGGGGCUUGAGGAUGCUUCUGGUCCUCCUGGCACACGUGGGUCCUCACUGGCCAAGUUCAACUUUCCCAGGCAAUGGCUGCCCACCCUCUCCUUGAUCACCUCUAGUGAUCAGGCCUUCUUUACCACAAAGCCACUUCCAUUUUCAGUACAGCUCAAAGCUUUCAAAUAUUCUUCUUGCUUUGAGCCCAAAUAUGCCUUCCUAUCACCUACUUCUCAUCGCUAGUGCUAGUUCUUCUCUUGGUGCUAAAGAGAGGAGACCUGGUUCCUUUUCCAUUUGGAGACUUUUCUCUUUUCCUAAUCUGGCCCACUGCCCCCUAAAUAGUGGUUCCCAGCUUAACUGUGCUUUAGCGUCAUCUGAGGAGCUUUUAAGACGCCUGGUGUCCAGAUUGCAUUCCAGAUCAAUAAUUCGGUAUCUCUCUAGGUGGAACCAGAUGGAAGGACUUUUUAAAGUGUCCCAGGUAGAUAGGAUGUGCAGCCCUGGCUGAGACUGCAAGUCUGUGCCAGCCUCCCCUGCCCAGGCAAAUGUGGUCACCCCUCCUACCUGAUCCUUAGUUGAUGCAUUUUGAAGCUUCUCACCACCUUCUCUGCUUUCUUUUGUCCAAAUUCAAACAUAACUCAUCAUAGCACAAUGAUUGGUACCAACUGUUUUUGUAGACUGACUGUAAAAACUCCAAGUGCCCGUUUGAUAUAAUAUCAAAUGCUUCCUUGUGAAGGUACUUAAAGUAAUAGGUGUCUGCUGCUUCAUAGCUCAACCAUUUAAAUCCUAGCCAUCUGUUUCCCCUUCGCCUGAACAGGAAAGAUCAGAUAAGUUCUCCUACGUUUCUCUAAGUAGAGUUGGCUUUGGUGAAAGGGAGCAGCUUUCACAGUUAGUAUAUUUGCCCUGCCUUGGUUUUAGGAGAGGUAGAUGGUGUGAUAGGUUUUGAUGAAUGACCCUAACAAGCCCGCCCAAAUGGCCUGGUUCUUUGUUUGGUAAGGAUUCCCCUCUCAUCUUCUACCCCUAUACCUAUUAGCAAAUAAUUGAGCCGUGCAAAACACAUAGGUUGUCAAGUUCAUCAGCCUCCAGGUGGCCCCUCCUGGGUCCUCUUAACCCCUAUUUUGAAUAAAGUUAAGAGCAUAGAGACCA
RNAcentral lists this long non-coding RNA (3182 nucleotides) under Sus scrofa (pig). RNAcentral describes it as "lncRNA (ENSSSCG00040057672.1)". The record is from RNAcentral. Lineage: Eukaryota; Metazoa; Chordata; Mammalia; Artiodactyla; Suidae.